RNAcentral lists this small RNA (75 nucleotides) under Xanthomonas sp. NCPPB 1560. Its description in RNAcentral is "sX9 sRNA". It matches the Rfam family "Xanthomonas sRNA sX9". Lineage: Bacteria; Pseudomonadati; Pseudomonadota; Gammaproteobacteria; Lysobacterales; Lysobacteraceae. RNAcentral also lists the same sequence under 8 other names. The record is from RNAcentral.
AUGUCCCACUCGUAAACUCCGGUUCCACGCAUUGUCCGCACCCACCUAACGACUGCUCACUAGGUGUUGUCAGCA